GAGGGUAUAGCUUAGUGGUAGAGUGCAUGCCUAGCAUGUAAGAUGUCCUGGGUUCAAUCUCCAGUACCUCCA
RNAcentral lists this transfer RNA (72 nucleotides) under Camelus bactrianus (Bactrian camel). It matches the Rfam family "tRNA". Rfam says of the family: Transfer RNA (tRNA) molecules are approximately 80 nucleotides in length. RNAcentral also lists the same sequence under 2 other names. The record is from Rfam by way of RNAcentral. Lineage: Eukaryota; Metazoa; Chordata; Mammalia; Artiodactyla; Camelidae.